RNAcentral lists this unclassified non-coding RNA (329 nucleotides) under soil metagenome. RNAcentral describes it as "partial contains 5.8S ribosomal RNA, internal transcribed spacer 2, and large subunit ribosomal RNA". The stretch from base 1 to 120 matches the Rfam family "5.8S ribosomal RNA", at positions 35 to 154 of the family's 154-position model. The record is from RNAcentral.
GAUGAAGAACGCAGUGAAAUGCGAUACGUAAUGUGAAUUGCAGAAUUCAGUGAAUCAUCGAAUCUUUGAACGCACAUUGCGCCCCCUGGUAUUCCGGGGGGCAUGCCUGUCCGAGCGUCAUUACAACCCUCAAGCUCAGCUUGGUGUUGGGCCCCGCCGCCCCGGCGGGCCCUAAAGUCAGUGGCGGUGCCGUCCGGCUCCGAGCGUAGUAAUUCUUCUCGCUCUGGAGGUCCGGUCGUGUGCUUGCCAGCAACCCCCAAUUUUUUUCAGGUUGACCUCGGAUCAGGUAGGGAUACCCGCUGAACUUAAGCAUAUCAAUAAGCGGAGGA